RNAcentral lists this ribosomal RNA (408 nucleotides) under uncultured eukaryote. RNAcentral's name for it is "SSU rRNA". It matches the Rfam family "Eukaryotic small subunit ribosomal RNA", at positions 587 to 972 of the family's 1831-position model. The record is from RNAcentral.
AGCUCCAAUAGCGUAUAUUAAAGUUGUUGCAGUUAAAAAGCUCGUAGUUGAAUUUCAAGUUCCUUUUCGUUUCCGGCCACUGUGUCUUUUAUGGCCAGUGUUGCAUUUGGAAACAGGAGCUUUUAUUCUGCUAGGCGCUCGCUUCUUCCAGUUCUGCUGGCGUAGGCGAUGUUUUUGCCUAGCACUUUUACUUUGAAAAAAUUAGAGUGUUCAAAGCAGGCUUUUUAAGCUUGAAUAUCUUAGCAUGGAAUAAUAGAAUAGGACUUUGGUUCUAUUUUGUUGGUUUCUAGGACUAAAGUAAUGAUUAAUAGGGAUAGUUGGGGGCAUUAGUAUUUAAUUGUCAGAGGUGAAAUUCUUGGAUUUAGGAAAGACUAACUUCUGCGAAAGCAUUUGCCAAGGAUGUUUUCA